Molecule: long non-coding RNA, 268 nt
Filed under: Elaeis guineensis (African oil palm)
Lineage: Eukaryota; Viridiplantae; Streptophyta; Magnoliopsida; Arecales; Arecaceae
Description: long non-coding RNA (EGUI_LNC035832)
Source: RNAcentral
CAGGGAUUGAAGCUGAUGAGGUCUGGGUUGCCUGUCUCUCCCUGCGCACGCCUUCUUCCAACUCGCAGACCGAUUUCCUUCUUUGUGGGAGCUUCAUUUUCGGAGCCAUUUGCACUGAUGAGACUAUCACAGAGCUUGGGAGAGCAAAUGUGAGGAUGAGAUGAAGAGUUUCUAGUGGAAGGAUAGGGAUUUUUGGAGGAGUGAUACUCCGAUUUGGAAGAGAAGGGUAGAAUCUAGGGCACACUCAAUUCGCUCCAAACAAGGGUGG